This is a long non-coding RNA of Camarhynchus parvulus, 417 nucleotides long. RefSeq lists it as uncharacterized. Lineage: Eukaryota; Metazoa; Chordata; Aves; Passeriformes; Thraupidae. The transcript has 4 exons. The record is from RefSeq and is a predicted model, not a curated record.
GCUCAAGUGACAUUGACAUUGAGGAGAAACCAUGCAAUUAUCCAGCUGUACUGACACCAUUAGGGGAGCUUGUUCUGAAUCACAGGAAAAUACUCAGGAAGGAUAACAGAAAAGGCACUGUGUACAUCCAUGUGGCCAUUGUUGUUCUUGUUUCACAACCAAAGCAAUCCGGAGGUGGGUGGACGAACACACAGAGCUCAUUGCUGAACUACUGAAGUUGGCAAUAAAUGCUUCUACAGACACAAGCUUUGAGGCCACAAGGUUGAAUCCAAGAGUCAUCCUCCAUCCCUGGACCAGAGACAUCCCCAUGAACCUUCAUCCUUUGCCUGGUACCAGCUGUGGGGUGGGAUGGGUAAGAGCUGCACAGAAGGUGUUUCCUAACCAAAACUUGCAUUCUCUCCAGGAUAAAUGGGGAGG